AUGCCAAGUCUGUCGUUGAGCACUACCAGACCGUCAGUGCCUGCAACCAAAGCGGAAGAUCAUCAGGGCACCGAAGCAGCAAGGGCCGAAGCAGAAGGCAGUAAGAUGGCAGCAUUGCAUUCUUUAAAGCAUGCCCGAGGCUUGUGUUUUAAAUGUGGCGAACGAUGGGGCAAGGAUCACACAUGUCCUCCUACUGUGCAGAUGCAUGUAGUGGAGGAACUAUUGGAGCUCUUUGCAAAAGAAGAGGUGUUAGUGGGAAACAAUCACGAACCAAACGAGCUGGACGAAGACAACCUUUGCACCAUUUCCAAGCAGGCGGUGGACGGGUCUGCCGGGCUGGGUGUGAUGCAACUGCACGCAUGUAUUCAAGGGAAGGAAAUGUCAUUACUGGUUGACUCGGGCAGCUCCUCCUCAUUUGUCGACCAUCAUAUCACAGCCAAGCUAUCGGGAGUGUGCAAACUGCCCAAGACAUGCAGAGUUAAAGUGGCAGAUGGUGUUGUGUUGAGCUGUGACAGCUUCAUACCACAGUGCCAAUGGACAUCACAGGGGCAUGAUUUUAUAAUAGAUUUCAAACUACUAUCACUUGGAGCUUAUGAUGCUAUCUUAGGGAUGGAGUGGCUCAAGAAACACAACCCUAUGAACAUUGAUUGGGAGGCGCAGCAUAUGACAGUUACAAUGGAGGAAGGGCUGGUUGAAUUGCAAGCAGUUACCAAUGCUCAAGAAUGA
RNAcentral lists this ribosomal RNA (726 nucleotides) under Triticum aestivum (bread wheat). Its description in RNAcentral is "partial small subunit ribosomal RNA". Lineage: Eukaryota; Viridiplantae; Streptophyta; Magnoliopsida; Poales; Poaceae. The record is from RNAcentral.